Acanthosepion pharaonis is the source of this 112-nucleotide non-coding RNA. The record is from the annotation of a GenBank genome assembly. Lineage: Eukaryota; Metazoa; Mollusca; Cephalopoda; Sepiida; Sepiidae.
UGACCAUAUCAUGUUGAAACACCAGUUCUCAUAUGAUCACUGAAGUUAAGCAAUAUCAAGCCUGAUCAGUAUCUAAAUGGGUGAGCAUUUCAGUAUACCAGGUGCUGUAGGC